Long non-coding RNA from Thunnus maccoyii (southern bluefin tuna), 1038 nucleotides. RefSeq lists it as uncharacterized. Lineage: Eukaryota; Metazoa; Chordata; Actinopteri; Scombriformes; Scombridae. The transcript is spliced from 2 exons. The record is from RefSeq and is a predicted model, not a curated record.
GUGAUUCAGUGGAAGAAAAUAGGCGUUGUUACUGCUUCACUACAUUGCAUAGCAGUAUUUCACUGCACCAAAUAUUAAAGAAGACACAUAAUCAUGGUGCUGCACAACUAGCAGCCAAAAAAGAUUAGAGAUAUAGGUAAAGCUACACUUUAAAUGUGUCAAUUUCAUGAUAAUACACUGGAUAUAAUGUUUUAAUUGUAUGUUUUUGUUUUACAAGUCAAAAAAAAAGAAAUAGCUGCUGUGCCAGUAGCCUCCAUGCAGUUGUUAUUCUGGGCUGCAGAGCUCACAGUUGGAUGGAAAACAGCCCAUCAGCGGCUAGUUUCUGAGUACACUGAAUAGCUGAUUAGGCCUGUUAGUGCACCUGGUUCGCACCUGCGCAGCAUCUCCUCUGCUCCCAUUUAAUUGUGAGACGAGCAAAGUGGAAACAGGACCUCAGUUUAGGUGGUGGAGAAGAGGAUGCUGAGCAAGCUGGUGAACAUCUGAAUAUCCUGAACAACAUUUCUCAACCCCUCCAUGAAGUGUAGAGUUUAUGAGCGAUGCGGUCAUUGUGAGCUGCUGGUGGCCAUCAAACUUUAUGAUUCAUCCCCCCUCUGCUGCAGCACCGACCUCACAGACCUCUGAGAAUGCUGAUGUCUUCCAAUGGACAUCCCUCUUCACCACAGAACAAUACAAUCUAAACUCUAAACACCCAAUUCAUCUUAUAGACCAUUUACACAACUGUCUGGCACAAAUUUGUUAAUUCCACUUAAUCUGUUUGAUUUUAAUUUCUGUUUGUAUUGACUGUUCACAAUCUGAACAAUUAUAAUUUGUACAUUGUCACUAUAUGGCCCUAUUUCAGUUUAAUUUGACUUAUAUACUGUAUAUUUUUUAUCCAUGAACUAAUAUCUGCAUGGUUGUACUUGUACAUGACCUUGUACAUAUAUUUUUAGAAGAAAUCCCUUAUUACAUAGACAUUAUCAGAGUUUAUUGAAUAUAGUAGUUAAUUUAUGUCGUCACAAUCAAGAAGAACAGGGUCAAUAAAGACAGCUAACCUUUUUA